AGAAACGGUUGUAGUCACAAAGUAAUUGACAGAAUAAAAUGUAAAUUUCAGCAUAUUUUUUCACACAAAAAUGUGUUAGUGCGUAGAAAUGUGAUCAGGCUGAGCACACGGUCUUAUGGAUUUCAUAAUUUUCGGCGCUUAACGUGAAAACAGUUAAAGCACAGGAUUCACAAACAUUAAAUUUAUGCUUAAAUCUAUAUGCGAUACAUUAUGCAAAAUCUAUAUGCGAUACAUUAUGCAAAAUCUAUAUGCGAUACAUUAUACAUAUAAUUAUAAUUCACGAUAAUACCACAUAUGGAAGUAACUGGAAUAAAUUUGGACUAUUUCCUUCGGAAGUUUACAUGACUAUCCUGUCAAAAGGCCUCCCUCGUGUUUACAUAUUUUGACAGGUCUAGUUGUUCUGGGACUAGGAACAAUGAUGAAUGAAUACCUGCACCAUGGAAACAGUGUCAUUUGCAAACUUUUUGAACCUGUGCUGGGCGUUCACAUUGACAUUUCUUGUUCAACAGGAAUACAUGAUGUCGACCAACAGUACAGCUAGAUGAAGAUAUAAAUUUAUUAAAAAAAAUAAUGGGACAAUGAAUGCUAAAAUUGCCAAGAAGAAGACUGCCAAUUUACACACCAUUUUAUACAGUUACAGUAUGAUAUGGUGAACAAAAAGUCCUCAAUGCAGCCAGUUCUGGAGCUUUGGUUAGACUAUGAACAGUAGACAUCAAAAGAUGAUCAUCUGAAGGGCCACAAUUGUUUAAAGCACUGGUCAACAAAAACUGAACUAUUUGAUGGAUCAUACAUGUGCAGAAUGUACUACCAUAUUUCCAGAAUCAGAGAAAUAGAAAUAUCAAGUAUUAGAGAGAAAGAAAUGUAUGCAUCAUGUAUGAAGAACUGCCUAAGAAUAAUUUGCAAAAUACAUUGAAAUCUAACAAUUGCUAAUUGCAUAAUGCAUAUGGAAGUUAAGAAAGGUGUACUCUUCUGGAAAAUAUGUGUCCAGUGCAACAUUUCUUUUUCAAUUUUGUGAGUAUAAUUCUACAUAAAAAUUGUAACAUGGCUACAGGGAUAAUACAAAAGGUUUAAUCUUAUUUCCAAACACAUUGGGGGAAUCAGAGAAGAAAUAUCAAGAAUUAGGGGAAAAGAAAUAAUUGUCAUGAAUGAAAAACUUGCUUUUUAUUAAUUUACAAAAUACUUUUUAGCCUCACAACUGUUAAUAAUAUUAUGAAUAUGGAAGUUAAAAGUGUGGACUUUGAUUAAUCUUCAACUUCUCUGAGCAUAGUUCUACAUAAAAAUUGUAACUUUAUAAAAUAGUCUUGUAGAAAAAGUGUAAGACUUUCAUACUUGUUUUAUAGAAAAUGUUUCUGGAUGUUUCAAUGUAAGUUUGCUAGACCCAGACCACUAGCUCCUAAGUCAAGGUUACACUUAGAUGUCAAAGGUUAAAAGGGUCUGUUUCUGUCUGGUCAAUAACUGCCAUACA
Mercenaria mercenaria is the source of this 1465-nucleotide long non-coding RNA. RefSeq lists it as uncharacterized. The record is from RefSeq and is a predicted model, not a curated record. The transcript has 5 exons. Lineage: Eukaryota; Metazoa; Mollusca; Bivalvia; Venerida; Veneridae.